GUGGGUGUAGCUCAGUGGUAGAGCACAUGCUUAGCAGGUCCUGGGUUCAAUCCCCAGUACCUCCA
This 65-nucleotide transfer RNA is filed under the name Camelus bactrianus (Bactrian camel). It matches the Rfam family "tRNA". Rfam says of the family: Transfer RNA (tRNA) molecules are approximately 80 nucleotides in length. Lineage: Eukaryota; Metazoa; Chordata; Mammalia; Artiodactyla; Camelidae. RNAcentral also lists the same sequence under 3 other names. The record is from Rfam by way of RNAcentral.